This 1316-nucleotide ribosomal RNA is filed under the name metagenome. RNAcentral's name for it is "bacterial SSU rRNA". It matches the Rfam family "Bacterial small subunit ribosomal RNA", at positions 190 to 1521 of the family's 1533-position model. The record is from RNAcentral.
GGGUUGUGUGUGGAAAGUUUUUUCGGCCAGGGAUGUGCUCGCGGCCUAUCAGCUUGAUGGUGAGGUAAUGGCUCACCAUGGCUUCGACGGGUAGCCGGCCUGAGAGGGUGACCGGUCACACUGGGACUGAGACACGGCCCAGACUCCUACGGGAGGCAGCAGUGGGGAAUAUUGGACAAUGGGCGGAAGCCUGAUCCAGCAACGCCGCGUGGGGGAUGACGGCCUUCGGGUUGUAAACCUCUUUCGCCUAGGACGAAGCGCAAGUGACGGUACUAGGUAAAGAAGCACCGGCCAACUACGUGCCAGCAGCCGCGGUAAUACGUAGGGUGCGAGCGUUGUCCGGAAUUAUUGGGCGUAAAGGGCUCGUAGGCGGUUUGUCGCGUCGGGAGUGAAAACCACAUGCUUAACAUGUGGCUUGCUUUCGAUACGGGCAGACUAGAGGUAUGCAGGGGAGAACGGAAUUCCUGGUGUAGCGGUGAAAUGCGCAGAUAUCAGGAGGAACACCGGUGGCGAAGGCGGUUCUCUGGGCAUUACCUGACGCUGAGGAGCGAAAGUGUGGGGAGCGAACAGGAUUAGAUACCCUGGUAGUCCACACCGUAAACGUUGGGCGCUAGGUGUGGGACCUAUUCCAUGGUUUCCGUGCCGCAGCUAACGCAUUAAGCGCCCCGCCUGGGGAGUACGGCCGCAAGGCUAAAACUCAAAGGAAUUGACGGGGGCCCGCACAAGCGGCGGAGCAUGCGGAUUAAUUCGAUGCAACGCGAAGAACCUUACCUGGGUUUGACAUACACCGGAAAGCUGCAGAGAUGUGGCCCCUUUUUGUCGGUGUACAGGUGGUGCAUGGCUGUCGUCAACUCGUGUCGUGAGAUGUUGGGUUAAGUCCCGCAACGAGCGCAACCCUCGUCCUAUGUUGCCAGCACGUUAUGGUGGGGACUCAUAGGAGACUGCCGGGGUCAACUCGGAGGAAGGUGGGGAUGACGUCAAGUCAUCAUGCCCCUUAUGUCCAGGGCUUCACGCAUGCUACAAUGGCCGGUACAAAGGGCUGCGAUCCCGUAAGGGGGAGCGAAUCCCAAAAAGCCGGUCUCAGUUCGGAUUGGGGUCUGCAACUCGACCCCAUGAAGUCGGAGUCGCUAGUAAUCGCAGAUCAGCAACGCUGCGGUGAAUACGUUCCCGGGCCUUGUACACACCGCCCGUCACGUCACGAAAGUCGGCAACACCCGAAGCCGGUGGCCCAACCCUUGUGGAGGGAGCUGUCGAAGGUGGGGCUGGCGAUUGGGACGAAGUCGAAACAAGGUAGCCGUACCGGAAGGUGCGGCUGG